This 998-nucleotide long non-coding RNA is filed under the name Monodelphis domestica (gray short-tailed opossum). RNAcentral's name for it is "lncRNA (ENSMODG00000047152.1)". Lineage: Eukaryota; Metazoa; Chordata; Mammalia; Didelphimorphia; Didelphidae. The record is from RNAcentral.
ACUCAAACUUGGGUCUCCUGAUUUCCAACGUAGGCUUAUUUCCAUUCUAUUGUGCUCCUUUUCUAGCUUUGAUGGGAAGCAUCCCUGGUGGGAAAAGCACUGACUAUGAGUUCAAGUCCUGCCUCUGGCUCUUGCUGACUUUGUGACCUGAAGCAAGUCACAACCUAUCUGUGCCUCACUUUCCUCAUCUGUAAAAUCAAGAGAUUGAACUAGACGGCCUCUGAGGGCCCCUUGAACUCUAAAUCUCUGUGCCAUGAAGCUUGUGUGCAGCUACUAUCCCAGCCAUUCAACAAUCCCAGUAAGUACGAGCUUACUUACUAUUCAGCAUCAGUAUAGUCUCUCUUUUGCCCUUCAGCUUUCAUCUGGUGAAUGUCUUUCAGCAAUCUCCAGGCUUGUCAGCACCACUAUUAGAUGGUGGUCAGGACCAGGGCAAGCUGAAGGGGAAGGCUCAAAUCAAUCAGUUUUGCUAGGAAUGAAUUGUUUUGGUAAAAAGAUACAGAGAGGAAGUUUGAAAUUUGUGCCUGAAAAGACCUGUUUCCCCUCAUUAGCACAGAUAAUUAUGGCCUCUAAUCAUCAGCAUCCACUUUUUCUUGCUGACUUCCUGGGUGGUCUACAGUUUACCCCCAAAGCCUACCCCACCAUUACAGCUUCCCUUUUCCCAGAGGAAGAAGAGGAUGAAGAGGAUGAAAAGAACCACGAGUCUCCCUGGAGAGACUGCAAUCGCAAACAAGUUUCUCCCAGAAGCACUGUGCUUACAGAAACUCCAGGAAACUUUGCUGAUUCUAGAGAAGAAAGGAAGAUUCGUGCUGCUUCUUUAUGUAAUAUUUGAAGCAACAUGGCAGUGGAGAGAGUAGAUGGUAUGCUGGGCUUGGAGUGGAGCUCUUCUGGGGUAGGUACUUACUUGUUGUAUGACCCUGUUCAAUUGUCUAACCUUAAUCUGCCUCAGUUUCCUUGCCUUGGAAAUGGGAAUAAAUAAUACCUGGACUUCUUACUUUACA